Molecule: ribosomal RNA, 1182 nt
Filed under: Triticum aestivum (bread wheat)
Lineage: Eukaryota; Viridiplantae; Streptophyta; Magnoliopsida; Poales; Poaceae
Description: partial small subunit ribosomal RNA
Source: RNAcentral
AUGCCUGCUGGUGACAACCCACACUCGAUAUCAGAGAAAAAGGCAGCACUGAGGGAGUCACCUAAGCAAUCUAAGAAUGAUGUUAAUCAGCAAGCCAGAGCUUCUACAUUUCCUAAAGACAAAGUUGCUGGGACCGUUGGCAUCAAGAGGCCGCAACCUAACGCCCCCCUGAGCCUAACCACCAACCAGCACGCGCCAGGAAAUCCCGGGGCAAAUGGCCAUCUCGUGUAUGUGCGCAGGAAGCUUGAGACAGACCAAAGCAAAGGAGGCGCUUCUGCUGGUGCAGAGAGUGCCAAUUCUGUGAGCUCAAAGAAACCUGCUACUGGUGGACCGCAGGAGCAAAGUUUGAAGCUUCAGAACAGUGCGACUCAUGCCCAAUCAGCUCCUGUUUCCGUGUCUCCUGCUGCAGCUGCUGCUACCACCAAUGCGUCUCAUACUCCAUCAGCUCCUGUUUCCGCGUCUCCUGCUGCAGCUGCUGCUACCACCAAUGCGUCUCAUACUCCAUCAGCUCCUGUUUCUGCGCCUCCUGCUGCUGCAGCUGCUGCUACUGCCCCUGCUUUGCACCCUGCAAGUUUGCCGGCUCACCUUUCUCUCGCGAAACAGUCUCCAGGAGUGGUCGCUGCUACUGCCCCUUCAUUGCACCCUCCAACUUUGCCAGCUCACCUUUCUCUUGCGAAACAAUCUCCAGGGAAGGCUACUGUCCAUCCAAGUGUUGUUGUGACUGCUAGUCCGCCGCACUGCAGUGUUGUGUCUACUGCCAUGCCUCAGAACUAUACGGCUGUCAAUACAUCGCCUUGUAAUGCUGUGGCUACUAGUGCAGCACCUCGUGAUGCUGUGGCUACUGCUACGACACGUAAUCCAACUGAUUCGCAAAGAUCAGGGGAUCAAGAUUGGAAAGCAAGGUUUCUUCGGCUGCAGGCAUUCCUGAGAAAUAAUGAGCAAUCAGGACAGGAAGAAUACAUCCGCAUGCUCCAGUCUUUGUCAUCUGUUGGCCGGAGCAAGCAUGCCAUUGAGCUGGAGAAACGAGCAGUCAAUCUCUUAAUUGAAGAAGGGAAGGAGCUGCAGAAGAUGAAAUCUCUGAAUGUGCUCGGCAAGCUUCCACCUGCCGAACAUCCAUCACUACCAACUCAGCCAACUUUUGGUAUGCGUCUGCCGUUCCAGCCAUUCCCAGCCCGCCGCUGA